Long non-coding RNA from Panicum virgatum (switchgrass), 1165 nucleotides. RefSeq lists it as uncharacterized. The transcript is spliced from 5 exons. NCBI's taxonomy places the organism in Eukaryota, Viridiplantae, Streptophyta, Magnoliopsida, Poales, Poaceae. The record is from RefSeq and is a predicted model, not a curated record.
CAUCACGCCUUCCCCCUCCUCGCUCCCCCUUACACCGCCGCCAACCUCCCCUCGUGCCGCCGUAGCCCCCGAGCCGGUCCGCACCGCCGCCGUCGCGUCGUCGCGCCAUCACCACCCCGCCGCCAUGAUGUGUCCAAUGUUUGCCGCUGCGAUCAGGUUGGGGAAUUUGUGGUUAGGGUUUCGGAUAGCUUAAGAAGCUUGCGUCCUGCGCCCUCCCGAGCUCCAGCAGCUCUGCGGCCUCAACAUCCAAGAGUACCAGGGCGCGGAGAUACGGGACCAAUGUGCCCAGAGGCGCGGCGGCUGGGUCCGCGCAAGAGGUCAAGGACGCCUUGAAGAACGCAUUCCCCAGCGAGAAAGAGAAAGGAAAUUUAGCACAAUCAGAUAUUGGUGAGACGCACUGAAUUGUGUACAUGGAGAGUACGUCAUUUAUUUCUGGGGCUUUAUCUGUUGAGGCUGUGUACUAAAUGCCAUCACACUUACCCUAAUUAUCAGUAAGUCAGCUUCUUGGCAUUGCAUGUUUACACUACAAAAUCAGUGGCCCAAGCUAAUACGGUAAUACCCCUUCUUUCCCCCAGUGAUAUUGGUUACUUCUGUUAUAAGGUGAUUGCAUGACAUUGGACAUAGCCAAUUAACUUCUGUUUUACUCCUUUCUCAAAAGAAGUCCCCAUUUAUCUGCAAGCUAUUAACACUGCAAAGUGCCAAAGAUAUCAUGACAAUUACUGAUACACUGAAUUCUUAGGUCGCAGUGACACCAAUGCUUUGCUCCAAGCCCAGACAGCAACAUGAGCCCAGCCCCUUGACUAUUGUUAGUUUGACUCAUCGAGGAUCAUGAGAUUGCCAUGCCCAAGUUCUCAAGGUUAGACAGGGCCGGGAUUGAUCAAGGGUGAUAAGGAUUAGAUGUUCGCAUUGCGGUGGUUCUGGUGCACCACCAAUCAUCCCUGAAUUGUUGCUUUCAUCUGAAACCAAAUUCACUUUAAGAUUGUGGGACCUGCUAUCUCUGGUUGAGCUGUGUCCAGAAACUGAAGAUUCAUCCAUAUUAGAUUGUAAGGGCAUUGACUUUGUAUAUUUUGUAUGCGAUAACCUUGAGUUUUUUUUAGAUGUUUUCCAUGCAUAUUUGGUAUGCUAUAAAAUAUAUAUAUUUCAUGUGUGCAUGCACAUGCCUCAA